This 492-nucleotide ribosomal RNA is filed under the name uncultured bacterium. Its description in RNAcentral is "partial 16S ribosomal RNA". It matches the Rfam family "Bacterial small subunit ribosomal RNA", at positions 29 to 507 of the family's 1533-position model. The record is from RNAcentral.
AGUGAACGCUGGCGGUAGGCCUAACACAUGCAAGUCGAACGGCAGCACAGUAAGAGCUUGCUCUUACGGGUGGCGAGUGGCGGACGGGUGAGGAAUACAUCGGAAUCUACUUUUUCGUGGGGGAUAACGUAGGGAAACUUACGCUAAUACCGCAUACGACCUACGGGUGAAAGCAGGGGAUCUUCGGACCUUGCGCGAUUGAAUGAGCCGAUGUCGGAUUAGCUGGUUGGCGGGGUAAGGGCCCACCAAGGCGACGAUCCGUAGCUGGUCUGAGAGGAUGGAUCACCAAAAUUGAACUUGAGCACCGGCCCAGCUCCUUAGGGAAGGAACAAGGGGGAAAUAUUGGCAAUGGGGGGAAAGCUUGACCAAGCAAGCCGGGUUGGUGAAGAAGGCCUUCGGGUUGUAAAGCCCUUUUGUUGGGAAAGAAAAGCAGCAGGUUAAUACCCCGCUGUUCUGACGGUACCCAAAGAAUAAGCACCGGCUAACUUCGUG